Molecule: ribosomal RNA, 465 nt
Filed under: uncultured bacterium
Lineage: Bacteria
Description: bacterial SSU rRNA
Rfam family: Bacterial small subunit ribosomal RNA
Source: RNAcentral
GACGAACGCUGGCGGCGUGCCUAACACAUGCAAGUCGAACGGGACCAGAUGUCAGACAGCGGACAUCAGAAGACAGAUUACAGAUGGCAGAAUACAGAUUCAGAAGAGGGCGUGGAGGAAACCAAGCCUAGAUUCUAAUAUCCUAAGUCUGAGCAUUAGUAUCUGAACUCUGGUAUCUGGCGUCUGAUGUCUGGUCUAGUGGCGGACGGGUGAGUAACGCGUGAGCAACCUGCCUUACAGAGGGGGAUAACAUUCGGAAACAAAUGCUAAUACCGCAUAACAUAUAUUUACGGCAUCGUAGAUAUAUCAAAGGAGCAAUCCACUGUAAGAUGGGCUCGCGUCCGAUUAGAUAGUUGGUGAGGUAAUGGCUCACCAAGUCUGCGAUCGGUAGCCGGACUGAGAGGUUGAACGGCCACAUUGGGACUGAGACACGGCCCAGACUCCUACGGGAGGCAGCAGUGGGGG